CCAACGCCAACGCCAAUUACCUCACGUAUGAGAGAGAGAGAGAUUUUUAAGAGAGAGAAAGAGAGGUUCAGUAUAAAGAAAGAGUAAAUAAGCUCCGGGCUUGGGCUCGUGUGGUUAGCUUAUGAUGUUUAUGGAUAAUUGCAUGUUGUUGUUUUCAUUCUCAUACACCUUCAAAAUUUAUUAAACAUUACGAAAAUGAGUGAGGAUUUGUAUUUUACAUUGAAUUAUUUUAAAAAAUAAGUUCAUUUAACUUCUAGAGAGAAAAUCGUCUUAGAAAGGUGGUAUAAUGUGCAGUAAAAAGGGUAUAUUGUCCGUUAGAAAGAAACUAACAGGGAAUAGAGAAAGGGAAUAUAGAGGAAAAGUAUAGUGAGAGAGUAGUUAAGAGAACAAGUUUUUAAGAG
Molecule: long non-coding RNA, 401 nt
Filed under: Amborella trichopoda
Lineage: Eukaryota; Viridiplantae; Streptophyta; Magnoliopsida; Amborellales; Amborellaceae
Description: long non-coding RNA (ATRI_LNC000178)
Source: RNAcentral